GUGCUUGCUUCAGCAGCACAUAUCCUAAAAUUGUAACAGUACAGAGAAGAUUAGCGUGGCCCCUGGGCAUAGACGACACGCAAAUUUGUGAAGCAUUACAUUUUUUA
Small nuclear RNA from Aotus nancymaae (Ma's night monkey), 107 nucleotides. The record is from Ensembl. NCBI's taxonomy places the organism in Eukaryota, Metazoa, Chordata, Mammalia, Primates, Aotidae.